CAUAAAGAGGUAUUGAGCAUCUACCAUGGAUGCAGACACUUUUUCUUGACUCCAUGGAAAUUAUAUAAAUUAAUCCUACCUAUAUAAAGCAGAUAACAAUAAAGAUAAAAACUAAGCUUCAUAAUGCUUAUUAAUUACCACCAAUAUUACCCAGCACUAUUCUAAGCACGGCCUAUGGGCAGGGUCACUGAUGAGGGCUCUAUCCUCCCUCUGUGGCCCAGAGGGCAGCAAUGCAUGGACCUACGUCCUGUACCUUAAGCCCUUUACUUCUUUGUGUUUCCAAUAGGUUAUCUGGGUCAGACUCAAGAAUGCUCAUCAAAGGUUAAUUUUAGAAUGAUCUGGCAUUUCAGUAACAACACAGAGGCACUUUAAUUCCUGAUUCAAGGGUAGAUUUUCUUUGAAGACAUAAUUCUGUGGAGCUGAUGAUCUUUUACUUCCUCAGAAGGGAGUAGCCACUAGGGGGAAGAUGGGCAUUGAAGAGGUACCUUGAAAGUUCUGCACUUGAGGUCUUGCUGCCUGUAGGCUUGAGGAGAAGAGGAUAUUGAGUUCACCAGCUUUGGGGCAGACAAGUGCAUGGCCUGUGGUCUUUAGGGUCAAUAGUAAGUGCAGAGGCAAGGCUAUCCCUCAGGAUUAAACUGUGUCAAUGUACCCUAAGGCUGUGGCCUAAAAUGGGGGUCAAUAAAUGAAGCAGAGGGAUGUGGUUUUGGCUCAGUGGUAAAGCACUUGCCUAGCAUGUAUGAGGCACUGGGUUCUAAGCCUCUGCACCACAUAAAAAUAAAUAGAUAGAUAGAUAGAAAGUAAAGGUAUUAUGUUCAUCUACAAAUAAAAAAAUAACCGAAGCAGAAAGUAUUAUUCUCUGUGUUCCUCUAAUACUGCAACUUGGUGGAAUUUUCAGGAACAAACAAACCCAAACUCCUACCAAAGUCUAUAUGCAAAUCCUUAUCUUAAUCCUACAGAAAACUAAAUGCAAAAGUCAUUGUGUCUAAGUAUUGACAAGAUCUGGGGCAAAUUUAUUUUAGUGAAUAGUCUUGUGACAUUUAAUCUUUACCAUUAUCCAUCAAGUUAGAUAACUUUGAUUUUGAGGAAACCAAAUUUAGAUAUGAUACAUGUCAUUCAGUGGUAGGAGCAUAAUAAAUAUUGAUGGUGAUACAGAACAAUUUUUUUCCUUAGCAGCAAGUGCUAAAACUUUUUGAUUGAGGCAUAUUCAUUUUCCUGUUAUUUCCAUAACUAUUUAAUGCUCACUUGCUGGCUUAAAACAAACCAAACGCAUAUCUCACAGUUUUAGGUUGGAAGGCCAACACAAGUUUCACUGGCUAAACUCAGGGUGUUAGCAGGCCUGUGUUCCUUUCUGUGGGCUCCAGUGGAGAAUCUGUUUCCUUGCUUUUCUCAUCCUCUUUGGUCCCUUCCUCCAUCUUAAAAUCAGCAGCAUUGCAUCUCUGUGGACAUUCUUCCAUGGCCACAUUGCUCUGUGACCACAGACAGGAAGGAUUCUGUGCUUUUCAGGACCACGUGAUUAGACUGGCCCCACCCGGAUAAUUCAGUAUCAUCUCCCCACCUCUGAGUCCCCCAACUCAAUCACAACUGCCAAGUCUCCCUUUCCACAUAAGGAAAUAUAUUCACAAAUCCCAGAGAUCAGGAUACAGACAUCUGGGGAGACUCUAAUUCUGCCUACCACGGAGUAUUUUUCCUGGACUUUAUUUCAUUCUUAAAACAUGAAGAAGAAGGUCAAAAUGAUGUCACUUUCUCUAGGAUCUCAGGUACUUUAUAUGAGGAAGUAAACUAUUUUUCUAUUUUAUAUUGAUGUUUAGAAUAUUUUCAUGGAAGCUGGAAGUUGCGACAUUAUGUUCAAAUGACUUCCAAAUCGUAUCUCCGCUGUGACAUAUGGACCCAUAUUUCCAGGUGGCUUCAUGGGACUGUUAGCUUGCUGAACUAAACCAUAUUUAAGGAGCCAGACAUAAACUUCAAACACAGCAUGUCCAAAACAAAAUGCAUUUUUCUCUUAGGCCUAUUCUCUUUUUUUGUCUUCCUAAAUUCCAUUUGAUGGUGUUAUCAUUCACGCAAUCCUCAAAACAUUAUGAUUAAUCUUAGCUCCUCUUUCCUCUUCAUUACUCACAACCAAGAGGCCAAUAAAUCCUUCUGCUUCUACCUUUGGUCUGUUAUCUGGAAUUUGGUCUUUGCCUCAUUGCCAACUUUGAGAUUAAAGCCUCUUCAUCCUACACCUGAAUUAUUUCAGUCGGAUUUUAUUUCUCUUCACCAGUUUACUUUCCCUUCUGGUCCAUUUUUCACGGUGCUAUCAGCAUGAACUUUCCAGAAAAAAAAUGCCAUCAUGUCUUUCCUCUUUUGAAAGGCCUUCCCAAGACCCUCCUUAUCUAUUCAAAAAAUGUCUCAAUAAAAACAUUUUUAAGAAGAUGUUCCAAAGCC
This 2421-nucleotide long non-coding RNA is filed under the name Marmota monax (woodchuck). Lineage: Eukaryota; Metazoa; Chordata; Mammalia; Rodentia; Sciuridae. The record is from RNAcentral.